AUUGAACGCUGGCGGCAUGCUUUACACAUGCAAGUCGAACGGUAACAGGCCUUCGGGUGCUGACGAGUGGCGAACGGGUGAGUAAUGCAUCGGAACGUGCCCAGAGGUGGGGGAUAACGCAGCGAAAGCUGUGCUAAUACCGCAUGUGAUCUGAGGAUGAAAGCGGGGGACCAGGCAGCAAUGUUUGGCCUCGCGCCUUUGGAGCGGCCGAUGUCAGAUUAGGUAGUUGGUGGGGUAAAGGCCUACCAAGCCGACGAUCUGUAGCUGGUCUGAGAGGACGACCAGCCACACUGGGACUGAGACACGGCCCAGACUCCUACGGGAGGCAGCAGUGGGGAAUUUUGGACAAUGGGCGCAAGCCUGAUCCAGCAAUGCCGCGUGCGGGAAGAAGGCCUUCGGGUUGUAAACCGCUUUUGUACGGAACGAAAAGGCUCUGGCUAAUACCGGGGGCUGAUGACGGUACCGUAAGAAUAAGCACCGGCUAACUACGUG
RNAcentral lists this ribosomal RNA (492 nucleotides) under uncultured bacterium. Its description in RNAcentral is "partial 16S ribosomal RNA". It matches the Rfam family "Bacterial small subunit ribosomal RNA", at positions 30 to 507 of the family's 1533-position model. The record is from RNAcentral.